This 305-nucleotide ribosomal RNA is filed under the name uncultured bacterium. RNAcentral describes it as "bacterial SSU rRNA". It matches the Rfam family "Bacterial small subunit ribosomal RNA", at positions 338 to 659 of the family's 1533-position model. The record is from RNAcentral.
CCUACGGGGGGCAGCAGUGGGGAAUAUUGCACAAUGGGGGAAACCCUGAUGCAGCAACGCCGCGUGAGUGAAGAAGUAUUUCGGUAUGUAAAGCUCUAUCAGCAGGGAAGAAGAAAGACGGUACCUGACUAAGAAGCCUCGGCUAACUACGUGCCAGCAGCCGCGGUAAUACGUAGGGGGCAAGCGUUAUCCGGAUUUACUGGGUGUAAAGGGCGUGUAGCCGGGUUGACAAGUCAGAUGUGAAAUCCUGCGGCUUAACUGCAGAACUGCAUUUGAAACUGUUGAUCUUGAGUACUGGAGAGGCA